GGGUUGUGAGGUUAAGCGACUAAGCGUACACGGUGGAUGCCCUGGCAGUCAGAGGCGAUGAAGGACGUGCUAAUCUGCGAUAAGCGUCGGUAAGGUGAUAUGAACCGUUAUAACCGGCGAUUUCCGAAUGGGGAAACCCAGUGUGUUUCGACACACUAUCAUUAACUGAAUCCAUAGGUUAAUGAGGCGAACCGGGGGAACUGAAACAUCUAAGUACCCCGAGGAAAAGAAAUCAACCGAGAUUCCCCCAGUAGCGGCGAGCGAACGGGGAGCAGCCCAGAGCCUGAAUCAGUGUGUGUGUUAGUGGAAGCGUCUGGAAAGGCGCGCGAUACAGGGUGACAGCCCCGUACACAAAAAUGCACAUGCUGUGAGCUCGAUGAGUAGGGCGGGACACGUGGUAUCCUGUCUGAAUAUGGGGGGACCAUCCUCCAAGGCUAAAUACUCCUGACUGACCGAUAGUGAACCAGUACCGUGAGGGAAAGGCGAAAAGAACCCCGGCGAGGGGAGUGAAAAAGAACCUGAAACCGUGUACGUACAAGCAGUGGGAGCACGCUUAGGCGUGUGACUGCGUACCUUUUGUAUAAUGGGUCAGCGACUUAUAUUCUGUAGCAAGGUUAACCGAAUAGGGGAGCCGAAGGGAAACCGAGUCUUAACUGGGCGUUAAGUUGCAGGGUAUAGACCCGAAACCCGGUGAUCUAGCCAUGGGCAGGUUGAAGGUUGGGUAACACUAACUGGAGGACCGAACCGACUAAUGUUGAAAAAUUAGCGGAUGACUUGUGGCUGGGGGUGAAAGGCCAAUCAAACCGGGAGAUAGCUGGUUCUCCCCGAAAGCUAUUUAGGUAGCGCCUCGUGAAUUCAUCUCCGGGGGUAGAGCACUGUUUCGGCAAGGGGGUCAUCCCGACUUACCAACCCGAUGCAAACUGCGAAUACCGGAGAAUGUUAUCACGGGAGACACACGGCGGGUGCUAACGUCCGUCGUGAAGAGGGAAACAACCCAGACCGCCAGCUAAGGUCCCAAAGUCAUGGUUAAGUGGGAAACGAUGUGGGAAGGCCCAGACAGCCAGGAUGUUGGCUUAGAAGCAGCCAUCAUUUAAAGAAAGCGUAAUAGCUCACUGGUCGAGUCGGCCUGCGCGGAAGAUGUAACGGGGCUAAACCAUGCACCGAAGCUGCGGCAGCGACGCUGAUGCGUUGUUGGGUAGGGGAGCGUUCUGUAAGCCUGCGAAGGUGUGCUGUGAGGCAUGCUGGAGGUAUCAGAAGUGCGAAUGCUGACAUAAGUAACGAUAAAGCGGGUGAAAAGCCCGCUCGCCGGAAGACCAAGGGUUCCUGUCCAACGUUAAUCGGGGCAGGGUGAGUCGACCCCUAAGGCGAGGCCGAAAGGCGUAGUCGAUGGGAAACAGGUUAAUAUUCCUGUACUUGGUGUUACUGCGAAGGGGGACGGAGAAGGCUAUGUUGGCCGGGCGACGGUUGUCCCGGUUUAAGCGUGUAGGCUGGUUUUCCAGGCAAAUCCGGAAAAUCAAGGCUGAGGCGUGAUGACGAGGCACUACGGUGCUGAAGCAACAAAUGCCCUGCUUCCAGGAAAAGCCUCUAAGCAUCAGGUAACAUCAAAUCGUACCCCAAACCGACACAGGUGGUCAGGUAGAGAAUACCAAGGCGCUUGAGAGAACUCGGGUGAAGGAACUAGGCAAAAUGGUGCCGUAACUUCGGGAGAAGGCACGCUGAUAUGUAGGUGAAGUCCCUUGCGGAUGGAGCUGAAAUCAGUCGAAGAUACCAGCUGGCUGCAACUGUUUAUUAAAAACACAGCACUGUGCAAACACGAAAGUGGACGUAUACGGUGUGACGCCUGCCCGGUGCCGGAAGGUUAAUUGAUGGGGUCAGCGCAAGCGAAGCUCUUGAUCGAAGCCCCGGUAAACGGCGGCCGUAACUAUAACGGUCCUAAGGUAGCGAAAUUCCUUGUCGGGUAAGUUCCGACCUGCACGAAUGGCGUAAUGAUGGCCAGGCUGUCUCCACCCGAGACUCAGUGAAAUUGAACUCGCUGUGAAGAUGCAGUGUACCCGCGGCAAGACGGAAAGACCCCGUGAACCUUUACUAUAGCUUGACACUGAACAUUGAGCCUUGAUGUGUAGGAUAGGUGGGAGGCUUAGAAGUGUGGACGCCAGUCUGCAUGGAGCCGACCUUGAAAUACCACCCUUUAAUGUUUGAUGUUCUAACGUUGACCCGUAAUCCGGGUUGCGGACAGUGUCUGGUGGGUAGUUUGACUGGGGCGGUCUCCUCCUAAAGAGUAACGGAGGAGCACGAAGGUUGGCUAAUCCUGGUCGGACAUCAGGAGGUUAGUGCAAUGGCAUAAGCCAGCUUGACUGCGAGCGUGACGGCGCGAGCAGGUGCGAAAGCAGGUCAUAGUGAUCCGGUGGUUCUGAAUGGAAGGGCCAUCGCUCAACGGAUAAAAGGUACUCCGGGGAUAACAGGCUGAUACCGCCCAAGAGUUCAUAUCGACGGCGGUGUUUGGCACCUCGAUGUCGGCUCAUCACAUCCUGGGGCUGAAGUAGGUCCCAAGGGUAUGGCUGUUCGCCAUUUAAAGUGGUACGCGAGCUGGGUUUAGAACGUCGUGAGACAGUUCGGUCCCUAUCUGCCGUGGGCGCUGGAGAACUGAGGGGGGCUGCUCCUAGUACGAGAGGACCGGAGUGGACGCAUCACUGGUGUUCGGGUUGUCAUGCCAAUGGCACUGCCCGGUAGCUAAAUGCGGAAGAGAUAAGUGCUGAAAGCAUCUAAGCACGAAACUUGCCCCGAGAUGAGUUCUCCCUGACCCUUUAAGGGUCCUGAAGGAACGUUGAAGACGACGACGUUGAUAGGCCGGGUGUGUAAGCGCAGCGAUGCGUUGAGCUAACCGGUACUAAUGAACCGUGAGGCUUAACCUUACAACGCCGAAGCUGUU
This 2929-nucleotide ribosomal RNA is filed under the name Escherichia coli. RNAcentral's name for it is "23S ribosomal RNA". It matches the Rfam family "Bacterial large subunit ribosomal RNA". Lineage: Bacteria; Pseudomonadati; Pseudomonadota; Gammaproteobacteria; Enterobacterales; Enterobacteriaceae. The record is from RNAcentral.